GCCUGCUGGGGUGGAACCUGGUCU
Molecule: non-coding RNA, 24 nt
Filed under: Callithrix jacchus (white-tufted-ear marmoset)
Lineage: Eukaryota; Metazoa; Chordata; Mammalia; Primates; Cebidae
Also listed under: 1 other name
Source: RNAcentral